This 3601-nucleotide long non-coding RNA is filed under the name Gadus morhua (Atlantic cod). RNAcentral describes it as "lncRNA (ENSGMOG00000022885.1)". Lineage: Eukaryota; Metazoa; Chordata; Actinopteri; Gadiformes; Gadidae. The record is from RNAcentral.
GAACAGAAAGUGCAACAACUUCCGUUUAUACAGUCAUUUCCCAUAAGCCAGGGUUCAGGUCAAGGUUUCUCACCGUAUAGAAUAGCGCCUGUGUUGAAGCGCUUCGUAAAGCCCACGUGUGUCUACAACUGGCGUUCAGCCAUCAUCAAAACCACACACGCACACACUAACACACACACAGUCUCUGAGAGUCUCAGAGACUCUCUCUCUCUCCCUCCUUCUCUCUCUCCCCGGUCUCUCUCUCUCUCUCUCUCCUUUGUCUCUCUCUCUCUCCUUUGUCUCAAUCUCUCUCUCCUUUGUCUCUAUUGCCUCCUCUCUCUCUCUUUCUCUCUCUCUCUCUCUCUCUCUCUCUCUCUCUCUCUCUCUCUCUCUCUCUCUCUCUCUCUCUCUCUCUCUCUUGUCUUUCUUUCCCUCUCUCUCUCUGUUGUCUCUCUUUCUCUCCUUUGUCUCUCUUUCACUCAAACACCUCUCUCUCUCCUCCAUCUCUCUCCCCUGUCUCUCCCAUUCUCUCUUCAGACAAACAUGUCCUCAACAGACAUAAGCUCAGUCAAGGCCCAGUUGGACAGGUUGUGGAAGCAGAGAGAAGAGCUUAUCUCCAUCUAUAACAAAUGGGCCGAUCAGUACAAAGUCACGACAAGGUCAGAGAGUAACACCCUUCAGCCAAAACCAACAAGUGACUAAAUUAAGACAUUAAUCAGGCUCGACUCCUCCCAGACCCACUAGUCGCUGAGUCUCUGAGUCGCUGUUCGUUCACUGACUGUGGUGAAGAGGGACCGACUGAGAGAUGUCACGGCUCACGGGAGCCGGCCAGCUGUAUGUUGCUCUAGGACUGAGUCUAGGACACUCUUGUCAAAUUUUUGCCAAUGAGAGACAGGAAUACAGCGCUUUCUUGGAAAACAAAACAAAUGGGCUUAUGCUGCAUUUUAUUAUCCAUCCGUCUCGGAGGUCCGAGGACGUUGCCUAGCGACACGCACGAACACGCCCCUCAGUGGUGACCUAGCAAAAUUCCGAGACAGAAUUCAAGAUGGCUGCGCCCAGUGUGACUUGAAGCAUGAACUGUUUUCAUUGUGCUUGGGCCGCUUUGGUGGUUUAACCGGGUGGCAUCAAUGUUUUCCUCCAACGACCGAGCGAAAUAAUAAAAAGUGUGGGCGUGGCGUCAGAUCCGAGAUCCGAGUCGGUUCGCAGAGAAUACUCAAAGGCAUGAGCGUACGAUAAUACGAUUACAUAUCAGUGAAAUGGUAAAUGCAUGCUGUCUUUGUGUUUUCUGUGUCAUGCCAGAUUGAUAAAAUUGGCCUAUUUGAAUGUCUCGUCAAUCUGUCUCGUUCUUUCAUAGUUCGUUCUCACACACGCAACCCGGGACCCCCACCUUGCUGGAUCUUGAUCGAUUCUUGAUUGGGGGUGGCCAUCUUGACAAAAGUGUUAAGUUACUGUUAACCCAAGAAAAAUCAAAUAUGCCCAGAAUAAAUACAACUGCACAUUAUUUACUUUUAAACUCCAUCAUUGCUAAAUCAAGUCUAUUAUCUUGGUGAUAUGUUAAACAUCCAAUAAUCAACUACACCCCCCCAUCCCGCUGCGUUUGGUUUGUUAAGUCCUCAGCUGAAAGGAACUUAGUUGUAUUAAAAAUAAGUCCCUGUGCACAGCCUUUUGAUCCUCAGGUGCUGUUUAUAUGCAGUCAACAACGACAUAUAAAGUCAAAGAAGUGUAAAAUCACCGCACACUGAAAUAUACAUUGAUAAGCUGAUUUAUUUUGUGAAGGAUUCGUUUUGCUGUUGCUUCGUCAGGUUCACUCUUCAAAUUCACAUGACACCGACAGGUGAUUUAGAUGAUUCACAGGUUCACAUGACCUCACCAAUUAGUGCAAGGCACCACCAUAUGAACUUAGCUGUAUGUUGUGUUGAUUGAUGACGACUUGCACGAUCGUUUGAGAAUGAGAACGAGGGAGGAGCUUAGUCUGACCGACUCAGCUGAGAACCGUGCAUUCCGUGAUUCGAUUUACGCCACCGGAAACGCGACUGGACGAACAAACGAUUCUGAACGAUUCUUCUUGGCGAACUGACCGACGGAAACUGAAUCUAGGUAAAGAAUCAUGAAAUCCUUCACUAGUUCCGAAACAUUUUUUAUUGAAUCUGGCACCUCCUGUGUCGCUAUGAAGAAUGAAUCGCCUAAAUGAAAAAUAUAUAUUACUUUUUGUGUAAUGUUGUUAGCUGCUGUUAAUCUUUAUUCCCCAUUGUUCCACAAAAAUCUUGUGUUUGCAUUUUUCGAUACGUUUGGUGAAUUUUUAGGGGGAGAGUGGCGGAGAGAGGCGAUCGAGGCGCAUCAAGUGACGCAUAGCCUACACUUUUGCUGGUUGAGAUCGCUGUUAACGCCUAGCCUCGUUUCACUCAGGGGGAAAAGGUCAAGAAGACAACAAACUUAAGUUUGCUUAACUUUUCAAAUACACUGGCCAGUCGGAUCACAAACAAGCAAAAAUCGUUUCCGCCGAUCAAGAAUGUGGGGACCACGGUGAACACAGCAUUAUUACGCGUGUGAGAGGGUCUUUAACCAGAUUAAUUUAAUCUGUAGGACAAAUCUGAUCUGUGCAGCAAACAGGGCUUCUUCUCUCCCCCCUACCAUCUCCUCCCUACUCUUCCUUUGCCUUGUCGGUCCGCCGCUUACCCGGUUCAAUCCCUUUCCAUACGUGAAGUCAGUGUGCGUGUGGAGCCUUUGUCCGCGUGCGUGUGGAGCCUUUGUGUGUGCGUGUGGAGCCUGUGUCCGCGUGCGUGUGGAGCCUGUGGGUGUGCGUUGGGAGCCUGUGUCCGCGCGCGUGUGGAGCCUGUGUCCGCGCGCGUGUGGAGCGUGUGUCCGCGCGCGUGUAGCGUGUGUCCGCGCGCGUGUGGAGCGUGUGUCCGCGACACAUGCGUGUCGAACCUGUGUCCGCGUGCGUGUGGAGCCUGUGUCCACGUGAGGUGGAGCCCAGCUGUGUCCACGUGAGGUGGAGCCUGUAUCCACGUGCGUGCGGAGCCUUUCUGCUCGGUGAAUUUCACCGUCUUCUCCAGGAGCUCCGUCUGGAUGACUGCCGCUUCCAACGCUGACUCCGGCCCAGUUUGAUGACCUGCUAGCUAGGAUCGGUGCCGGAAUUUCUCGGUUGGACACUAACUACAGGCGUUCCAUCUCAGCUUCGAAUCGAAAGAUAAACAGUCUACUUCAGGCUCACCCAGAAGCCGUUUCCAUGGUAGACAGCGCCAUGUAGUGGACAAAGCAGAUAACAGAUUAUAAUGUUUGAUAUCCUUUGCCGACAAUAGUAUAGGAAGUCAAAUAGGCCUACAAUAAAUAUAUAAAUUAUAUUGAUAAAUUAUGACUCCUGCCUUUGUAAAUUGGGGUUUGUUAUAAAUAAACGUGGCAAAAUUAUUGUAAAUGUAGGAUUUUUACACCUAUAGUAUCUUCACUACAACAUUUCAUUAUCUUAAACUAAUUUAGCAUUCAGGCUAAUUUUAUAUAGCAUCCUGACUGUUAAUUCCUAUAAUGAGAUGUUGUAUUUUCAUUUCUCAGUUUCACCCUACUUCAACACACCAUAAAGAGUAAACUGGAACGUGUCGUCUGCGUGGUUUGUUGGAGAGGAGUU